CAAGUCGAGCGAACGGACGAGAAGCUUGCUUCUCUGAUGUUAGCGGCGGACGGGUGAGUAACACGUGGAUAACCUACCUAUAAGACUGGGAUAACUUCGGGAAACCGGAGCUAAUACCGGAUAAUAUUUUGAACCGCAUGGUUCAAAAGUGAAAGACGGUCUUGCUGUCACUUAUAGAUGGAUCCGCGCUGCAUUAGCUAGUUGGUAAGGUAACGGCUUACCAAGGCAACGAUGCAUAGCCGACCUGAGAGGGUGAUCGGCCACACUGGAACUGAGACACGGUCCAGACUCCUACGGGAGGCAGCAGUAGGGAAUCUUCCGCAAUGGGCGAAAGCCUGACGGAGCAACGCCGCGUGAGUGAUGAAGGUCUUCGGAUCGUAAAACUCUGUUAUUAGGGAAGAACAUAUGUGUAAGUAACUGUGCACAUCUUGACGGUACCUAAUCAGAAAGCCACGGCUAACUACGUGCCAGCAGCCGCGGUAAUACGUAGGUGGCAAGCGUUAUCCGGAAUUAUUGGGCGUAAAGCGCGCGUAGGCGGUUUUUUAAGUCUGAUGUGAAAGCCCACGGCUCAACCGUGGAGGGUCAUUGGAAACUGGAAAACUUGAGUGCAGAAGAGGAAAGUGGAAUUCCAUGUGUAGCGGUGAAAUGCGCAGAGAUAUGGAGGAACACCAGUGGCGAAGGCGACUUUCUGGUCUGUAACUGACGCUGAUGUGCGAAAGCGUGGGGAUCAAACAGGAUUAGAUACCCUGGUAGUCCACGCCGUAAACGAUGAGUGCUAAGUGUUAGGGGGUUUCCGCCCCUUAGUGCUGCAGCUAACGCAUUAAGCACUCCGCCUGGGGAGUACGACCGCAAGGUUGAAACUCAAAGGAAUUGACGGGGACCCGCACAAGCGGUGGAGCAUGUGGUUUAAUUCGAAGCAACGCGAAGAACCUUACCAAAUCUUGACAUCCUUUGACAACUCUAGAGAUAGAGCUUUCCCCUUCGGGGGACAAAGUGACAGGUGGUGCAUGGUUGUCGUCAGCUCGUGUCGUGAGAUGUUGGGUUAAGUCCCGCAACGAGCGCAACCCUUAAGCUUAGUUGCCAUCAUUAAGUUGGGCACUCUAAGUUGACUGCCGGUGACAAACCGGAGGAAGGUGGGGAUGACGUCAAAUCAUCAUGCCCCUUAUGAUUUGGGCUACACACGUGCUACAAUGGACAAUACAAAGGGCAGCGAAACCGCGAGGUCAAGCAAAUCCCAUAAAGUUGUUCUCAGUUCGGAUUGUAGUCUGCAACUCGACUACAUGAAGCUGGAAUCGCUAGUAAUCGUAGAUCAGCAUGCUACGGUGAAUACGUUCCCGGGUCUUGUACACACCGCCCGUCACACCACGAGAGUUUGUAACACCCGA
Molecule: ribosomal RNA, 1385 nt
Filed under: Staphylococcus sp.
Lineage: Bacteria; Bacillati; Bacillota; Bacilli; Caryophanales; Staphylococcaceae
Description: bacterial SSU rRNA
Rfam family: Bacterial small subunit ribosomal RNA
Source: RNAcentral